This 301-nucleotide ribosomal RNA is filed under the name uncultured bacterium. RNAcentral's name for it is "partial 16S ribosomal RNA". It matches the Rfam family "Bacterial small subunit ribosomal RNA", at positions 509 to 807 of the family's 1533-position model. The record is from RNAcentral.
CAGCCGCCGCGGUAAUACGAAGGGUGCAAGCGUUACUCGGAAUUACUGGGCGUAAAGCGCGCGUAGGCGGUGAGUUAAGUCUGCUGUGAAAUCCCCGGGCUCAACCUGGGAAUGGCAGUGGAUACUGGCUCGCUAGAGUGUGUCAGAGGAUGGUGGAAUUCCCGGUGUAGCGGUGAAAUGCGUAGAGAUCGGGAGGAACAUCAGUGGCGAAGGCGGCCAUCUGGGACAACACUGACGCUGAGGCACGAAAGCGUGGGGAGCAAACAGGAUUAGAUACCCCCGUAGUCCCUGUCUCUUAUAC